CGCAUAUUGUCUCCGGUUCGCCAGCAAAGCCCAGUGCGGCCUGUUCCAGCUCCCCGCACUUGCCGGGCUGAGGGGGGUAUCCAGCCAGGACUGUGUGACUAUGCAGACACCUGUCCAUCUCACCCACCAGAGUUCCUGUAUGUGCCUCUGAAACCAGAGCGGUUUCAAGGCACACAGAGAGUGCUGAUGCUGCUGUACUGUAUGUGGAACAAGAAGAAGAGGGCCUUUCAUCCUGAAAUAAAUGGAAAGACACCACAGAACAUCACUGCUGCUGUUGUAUUGCUCCAAUGACAACCCUACAGACAACCGUACAGCCCAAAGAC
Molecule: long non-coding RNA, 323 nt
Organism: Oncorhynchus tshawytscha (Chinook salmon)
Lineage: Eukaryota; Metazoa; Chordata; Actinopteri; Salmoniformes; Salmonidae
Source: Ensembl